Molecule: ribosomal RNA, 253 nt
Filed under: uncultured bacterium
Lineage: Bacteria
Description: partial 16S ribosomal RNA
Rfam family: Bacterial small subunit ribosomal RNA
Source: RNAcentral
UACGGGGGGGGCAAGCGUUGUUCGGAAUUACUGGGCGUAAAGGGCUCGUAGGUGGCCAACUAAGUCAGACGUGAAAUCCCUCGGCUUAACCGGGGAACUGCGUCUGAUACUGGAUGGCUUGAGAUUGGGAGAGGGACGCGGAAUUCCAGGUGUAGCGGUGAAAUGCGUAGAUAUCUGGAGGAACACCGGUGGCGAAGGCGGCAUCCUGGACCAACACUGACACUGAGGAGCGAAAGCUAGGGGAGCGAAUGGG